UUCAACACUAUUAAUACACUUGCUGAUAAGUCAUCAAGUUUUUGGCAUCGUUGUCUGGGAUUGUAAAUUUCCACAAGACCAUUUUUGUGUGAAGCUUAUUAGGUUUAAUUUUAUUUAUUUGUUUCAAUUUUUUUUGUUUAUAUUUUUUUUAGAUUUAGAUUUAAAUUUGGAUUUAGAUUUAGAUUUUCAGCUGAUUAUUCUAGAUUUGGAUUUAAUAUUUUUUACGAUUAGAUUAGAUUUGUUUUUGUUUUUA
RNAcentral lists this long non-coding RNA (253 nucleotides) under Lathyrus oleraceus (garden pea). RNAcentral describes it as "Pisum sativum (pea) long non-coding RNA (PSAT_LNC033687)". Lineage: Eukaryota; Viridiplantae; Streptophyta; Magnoliopsida; Fabales; Fabaceae. The record is from RNAcentral.